CAGCAGCCGCGGGAAUACGUAGGGUGCGAGCGUUAAUCGGAAUUACUGGGCGUAAAGCGUGCGCAGGCGGUUAUAUAAGACAGAUGUGAAAUCCCCGGGCUCAACCUGGGACCUGCAUUUGUGACUGUAUAGCUAGAGUACGGUAGAGGGGGAUGGAAUUCCGCGUGUAGCAGUGAAAUGCGUAGAUAUGCGGGGGAACACCGAUGGCGAAGGCAAUCCCCUGGACCUGUACUGACGCUCAUGCACGAAAGCGUGGGGAGCAAACAGGAUUAGAUACCCCCGUAGUCCCUGUCUCUUAUAC
This 301-nucleotide ribosomal RNA is filed under the name uncultured bacterium. Its description in RNAcentral is "partial 16S ribosomal RNA". It matches the Rfam family "Bacterial small subunit ribosomal RNA", at positions 509 to 807 of the family's 1533-position model. The record is from RNAcentral.